CUACGGGAGGCUGCAGUGAGGAAUAUUGCACAAUGGGGGGAACCCUGAUGCAGCAACGCCGCGUGGAGGAUGACGCAUUUCGGUGUGUAAACUCCUUUUAUAUGUCAAGAGAAUGACGGUAGCAUAUGAAUAAGCACCGGCUAACUCCGUGCCAGCAGCCGCGGUAAUACGGAGGGUGCAAGCGUUACUCGGAAUCACUGGGCGUAAAGGACGCGUAGGCGGGUUGGAAAGUCAGGUGUGAAAUCCUACAGCUUAACUAUAGAACUGCACUUGAAACUUCUAAUCUAGAGUAUGGGAGGGGGAGAUGGAAUUAGUGGUGUAGGGGUAAAAUCCGUAGAUAUCACUAGGAAUACCUAAAGCGAAGGCGAUCUCCUGGAACAUUACUGACGCUAAGGCGUGAAAGCGUGGGGAGCAAACAGGAUUAGAUACCCUCGUAGUC
RNAcentral lists this ribosomal RNA (439 nucleotides) under uncultured bacterium. RNAcentral describes it as "partial 16S ribosomal RNA". It matches the Rfam family "Bacterial small subunit ribosomal RNA", at positions 339 to 795 of the family's 1533-position model. The record is from RNAcentral.